GACUGUAUCGCCAUCUUCCUUGCUUCAGGUC
RNAcentral lists this non-coding RNA (31 nucleotides) under Mus musculus (house mouse). Lineage: Eukaryota; Metazoa; Chordata; Mammalia; Rodentia; Muridae. The record is from RNAcentral.